RNAcentral lists this ribosomal RNA (709 nucleotides) under bacterium enrichment culture. Its description in RNAcentral is "bacterial SSU rRNA". It matches the Rfam family "Bacterial small subunit ribosomal RNA", at positions 79 to 804 of the family's 1533-position model. The record is from RNAcentral.
GCUUUGAACUGUUUUAGUGGCGGACGGGUGAGUAACGCGUGAGGAACCUGCCUUUCAGAGGGGGAUAACGUCUGGAAACGGACGCUAAUACCGCAUGACAUUUUGUUGCCGCAUGGUGAUAAAAUCAAAGGAGCAAUCCGCUGAGAGAUGGACUCGCGUCCGAUUAGCCGGUUGGCGGGGUAACGGCCCACCAAAGCAACGAUCGGUAGCCGGGCUGAGAGGCUGAACGGCCACAUUGGGACUGAGACACGGCCCAGACUCCUACGGGAGGCAGCAGUGGGGGAUAUUGCACAAUGGAGGAAACUCUGAUGCAGCAACGCCGCGUGAGGGAAGAAGGUUUUCGGAUUGUAAACCUCUGUCCUCAGGGACGAUAAUGACGGUACCUGAGGAGGAAGCUCCGGCUAACUACGUGCCAGCAGCCGCGGUAAUACGUAGGGAGCAAGCGUUGUCCGGAUUUACUGGGUGUAAAGGGUGCGUAGGCGGCACUGCAAGUCAGGUGUGAAAACCAUGGGCUUAACUUAUGGAUUGCACUUGAAACUGUGGUGCUUGAGUGAAGUAGAGGCAGGCGGAAUUCCCGGUGUAGCGGUGAAAUGCGUAGAGAUCGGGAGGAACACCAGUGGCGAAGGCGGCCUGCUGGGCUUUAACUGACGCUGAGGCACGAAAGCAUGGGUAGCAAACAGGAUUAGAUACCCUGGUAGUCCAUGCCGUA